GUGGGGAAUAUUGGACAAUGGGCGAAAGCCUGAUCCAGCCAUGCCGCGUGUGUGAAGAAGGUCUUCGGAUUGUAAAGCACUUUAAGUUGGGAGGAAGGGCAGUAAGUUAAUACCUUGCUGUUUUGACGUUACCGACAGAAUAAGCACCGGCUAACUUCGUGCCAGCAGCCGCGGUAAUACGAAGGGUGCAAGCGUUAAUCGGACUUACUGGGCGUAAAGCGCGCGUAGGUGGGUUUGUAUGUUGGAGGUGAAAUCCCCGGGCUCAACCUGGGAACUGCCUCCAAAACUGCAUGACUAGAGUACGGUAGAGGGUAGUGGAAUUUCCUGUGUAGCGGUGAAAUGAGUAGAUAUAGGAAGGAACACCAGUGGCGAAGGCGACUACCUGGACUGAUACUGACACUGAGGUGCGAAAGCGUGGGGAGCAAACAGGAUUAGAAACCCGAGUAGUCC
This 450-nucleotide ribosomal RNA is filed under the name uncultured bacterium. RNAcentral's name for it is "bacterial SSU rRNA". It matches the Rfam family "Bacterial small subunit ribosomal RNA", at positions 354 to 796 of the family's 1533-position model. The record is from RNAcentral.